GCCGCGUGUGUGACGAAGGCCUUCGGGUCGUAAAGCACUGUCAGCCGGGAAGAAGACAUGCGUGCAAACCACGCGUGUGUUGACGGUACCGGCGAAGGAAGCACCGGCCAACUCCGUGCCAGCAGCCGCGGUAAUACGGAGGAGGCAAGCGUUAUUCGGAAUUAUUGGGCGUAAAGCGUCCGCAGGGGGCUCAUCAAGUCUGCUGUCAAAGGUCGGAGCUCAACUCCGGUUCGGCAGUGGAAACUGGUGGGCUAGAGGGCGACAGGGGUAGAGGGAAUUCCCAGUGUAGCGGUGAAAUGCGUAGAGAUUGGAAAGAACACCGGUGGCGAAAGCGCUCUACUGGGUCGCACCUGACCCUCAGGGACGAAAGCUAAGGUAGCG
RNAcentral lists this ribosomal RNA (381 nucleotides) under uncultured cyanobacterium. RNAcentral describes it as "bacterial SSU rRNA". It matches the Rfam family "Bacterial small subunit ribosomal RNA", at positions 396 to 770 of the family's 1533-position model. Lineage: Bacteria; Bacillati; Cyanobacteriota. The record is from RNAcentral.